GUGGGGCCUGAUGUGUGGUUCAAGCGAUGGGGUGACACAGUGGGGUAGCCAUGCCGCUUAGUGGAUUGUUGGUGUAAGCGUGUAGGUGAUGGUGUAGGUAAAUCCGCACUUGUUAUGCUGAGACGUGAUGCGUAGCCUUAAUUGGUGAAGUUGGUGAUCCCGUACUGUCGAGAAAAGCCUCUAGCGAUGUAUAUACUCGGCCCGUACCCCAAACCGACACAGGUAGUCAGGUUGAAAAUACUAAGGCGUUCGGGUGAACUGUGGUUAAGGAACUCGGCAAAAUGCCCCCGUAACUUCGGGAGAAGGGGGACCCUAUGGCGUGAACACCCAUUUGCGGUGGGAAGCGUUGUGGGGUCGCAGAGAAUAGAGGGAAGCGACUGUUUAUCAAAAACACAGGUCCAUGCGAAGACGUUAAGUUGAUGUAUAUGGACUGACGCCUGCCCGGUGCUGGAAGGUUAAGAGGACCGGUUAAUCAAGCUUUGCUUGGUGAAGCUGAGAAUUUAAGCCCCAGUAAACGGCGGUGGUAACUAUAACCAUCCUAAGGUAGCGAAAUUCCUUGUCGGGUAAGUUCCGACCUGCACGAAUGGCGUAACGACUUCCCUGCUGUCUCAACCACAGGCCCGGUGAAAUUGCACUACGAGUAAAGAUGCUCGUUACGCGCGGCAGGACGAAAAGACCCCGGGACCUUCACUAUAGCUUGGUAUUGGUGUUCGGUUCGGUUUGUGUA
This 727-nucleotide ribosomal RNA is filed under the name Corynebacterium striatum. RNAcentral describes it as "partial 23S ribosomal RNA". It matches the Rfam family "Bacterial large subunit ribosomal RNA", at positions 1438 to 2140 of the family's 2925-position model. Lineage: Bacteria; Bacillati; Actinomycetota; Actinomycetes; Mycobacteriales; Corynebacteriaceae. The record is from RNAcentral.